GUUUAGUACCCACAUGAAGCACCUUGAUUUUUGAAAAUGUCACCGAGGAAUAAAAUCUACAUCUGAGAAGAAGAAAUUAAUGAAUAUGGAACUAGAAAAUGAAGGCAAAACAGGGCAAGAUACUGAACCUCCAGGUUCUUGCCCUGAGGCACCUGUGAAUGGGUGGCCAUGUCCAAUACCUCCUCCUGUGUGAAGUCCUCCCAGACACAGGGAAAAGUUCCCAAUGCACAGCAUCACUCCUGCAGCAGUAACAAUGCCUCCAGAGGGAUGGAGCUCACCAAGGAGAAUCAGCUGGAUCACACUAAGGAGCAGAAAAGCAGUGGUGCUCAAGGCUUCACAGUCAUCAGGGCAAGAAGCGUGUGUUGCUUAAUGCAAUGAAACUGGUACCCCAUGCAGCAACAUGAUUCUGAGGGCAUAUGGUCAAAUGCAGUGCAUGUUUUUCUACCAGAACUGGUUUGUGUACCACACAGCUCACGUGAUGCUUACAGCAGAUAACAAAUGCUGAGCAGUGAUUUCCAACCUCACUUGUGUCAAGUGGUUCCAUGUUGCUGCAUCAAUCUGUGCAGCUUGGACCUUGAAUCAGCACAUCUGGGAGCUGUGGGGCUGGUGCCUGUACUCAGCCCAGCAGUGCAACACAGCUGUGCUGCUGUUAAUCAGCAGCCGUCUCCAUGCAGAAGCAGUUCAAGUGCCUUUGCACUGUGGUUGCCAGCAGUCUGCUUUCCGAGUUUAUCCCAUUUGGUGCUUGAAGUACUUGCGGUUACUCUGUCUUCCGUUACUCUGAUGUUAAGUAUGGUAUAACAAAAAAACAUCCAAAAUAUGAUCUCAAAACA
Coturnix japonica (Japanese quail) is the source of this 830-nucleotide non-coding RNA. NCBI's taxonomy places the organism in Eukaryota, Metazoa, Chordata, Aves, Galliformes, Phasianidae. The record is from RefSeq and is a predicted model, not a curated record.